GGUCUAAAUCUGAAGUAGAGUAAAUUAGUAAGAUCAGCUGAUCCUACUAAUCUACUCUAUUUCAAGAUUGGGCCC
Molecule: non-coding RNA, 75 nt
Organism: Haemonchus contortus (barber pole worm)
Lineage: Eukaryota; Metazoa; Nematoda; Chromadorea; Rhabditida; Trichostrongylidae
Source: Rfam